UGGGGAAUAUUGGACAAUGGGCGAAAGCCUGAUCCAGCCAUGCCGCGUGUGUGAAGAAGGUCUUCGGAUUGUAAAGCACUUUAAGUUGGGAGGAAGGGCAGUUACCUAAUACGUGAUUGUCUUGGCGUUACCGACAGAAUAAGCACCGGCUAACUCUGUGCCAGCAGCCGCGGUAAUACAGAGGGUGCAAGCGUUAAUCGGAAUUACUGGGCGUAAAGCGCGCGUAGGUGGUUUGUUAAGUUGGAUGUGAAAUCCCCGGGCUCAACCUGGGAACUGCAUUCAAAACUGUCAAGCUAGAGUAUGGUAGAGGGUGGUGGAAUUUCCUGUGUAGCGGUGAAAUGCGUAGAUAUAGGAAGGAACACCAGUGGCGAAGGCGACCACCUGGACUGAUACUGACACUGAGGUGCGAAAAGCGUGGGGAGCAGACAGGAUUAGAUACCCUGGUAGUCCACGCCGUAAACGAUGUCAACUAGCCGUUGGGAGCCUUGAGCUCUUAGUGGCGCAGCUAACGCAUUAAGUUGACCGCCUGGGGAGU
This 535-nucleotide ribosomal RNA is filed under the name uncultured bacterium. RNAcentral's name for it is "partial 16S ribosomal RNA". It matches the Rfam family "Bacterial small subunit ribosomal RNA", at positions 355 to 881 of the family's 1533-position model. The record is from RNAcentral.